RNAcentral lists this unclassified non-coding RNA (376 nucleotides) under uncultured Chlamydiales bacterium. RNAcentral describes it as "contains 16S-23S intergenic spacer region". The record is from RNAcentral. Lineage: Bacteria; Pseudomonadati; Chlamydiota; Chlamydiia; Chlamydiales.
UCCUAGUUAACCUAGGCAGUCUCACUAGAGUACCCAACUUAAUGAUGGCAACUAAUGACAAGGGUUGCGCUCGUUGCUGGACUUAACCAAACACCUCACGGCACGAGCUGACGACAGCCAUGCAGCACCUAUACAGAAGUCCUUACGGAAAACUACAUCUCUGCAGUCGCCCUCUGUAUUUCGAGCCCAGGUAAGGUUCUUCGCGUUGCAUCGAAUUAAACCACAUGCUCCACUGCUUGUGCGGGCCCCCGUCAAUUCUUUUGAGUUUUACCCUUGCGAGCGUACUCCUCAGGCGGUGUACUUAUCGCGUUAGCUACGACACAGUCGGGGUUGAGCCCAACUCCAUCAAGUACACAUCGUUUACGGCAAGGACUAC